UAUGUGAUCGUCUCUCGCAUAUCAAUAAGCGGAGGAAAAGAAACUAACAAGGAUUUCCCUAGUAACGGCGAGUGAAGCGGGGAGAGCUCAAAUUUGAAAUCUUAAAGGGUUUCCCUUUACGAAUUGUAGUUUAAAGAAGUGUUUUCUGUUGAGGUUUUGGUAAAAGUUCUUUGGAAUAGGACAUCAUAGAGGGUGAGAAUCCCGUAUUUGACCUUUACUUUCAACUUUGUGAUACACUUUCAAAGAGUCGGAUUGUUUGGGAAUGCAGUCCAAAAUGGGUGGUAAAUUUCAUCUAAAGCUAAAUAUUGGCGAGAGACCGAUAGCGAACAAGUACCGUGAGGGAAAGAUGAAAAGAACUUUGAAAAGAGAGUUAAACAGUACGUGAAAUUGUCAAAAGGGAAGCGUUUGACACCAGUGUUGUUUUUCUGAAAAUCAAUUAAAGAACUGUUUAUGCUAAGCUGUUUAGACUUUAUCAGCUAUCUGUUUAGUUUUGAGCUUUUCUUUAAUGCACUUUUCAGUUAACAAGUCAACAUCAAUUUCUUUUGCUGUAAAAAAGCUUGAGGAAGGUGGCUUGAGAUUCGUCUUAAGUGUUUAUAGCCUCUUGCCUAUGCAGUCGGAGAGAUUGAGGUCUGCAGCGUAGAUCCUUCGGGGCUAAAUGCAUUUGUGCUAAGUUAUAGCAUUUUAUAGACAACUUGUUGACUAUGAUUUGUCUUGUAGCUUACUCGCUUAUGUUAUUUUACCUACGCUUAGGAUGUUGAGCGCAUGUCUCUCUCU
This 774-nucleotide ribosomal RNA is filed under the name uncultured Neocallimastigales. RNAcentral describes it as "partial large subunit ribosomal RNA". It matches the Rfam family "Eukaryotic large subunit ribosomal RNA", at positions 24 to 616 of the family's 3401-position model. Lineage: Eukaryota; Fungi; Neocallimastigomycota; Neocallimastigomycetes; Neocallimastigales. The record is from RNAcentral.